UAGCUCAGUUGGUUAGAGCAUCUGACUUUUAAUCAGAGGGUCCUCGGUUCGAGCCCGAGAGGACGUACCA
Molecule: transfer RNA, 70 nt
Filed under: Brevundimonas sp.
Lineage: Bacteria; Pseudomonadati; Pseudomonadota; Alphaproteobacteria; Caulobacterales; Caulobacteraceae
Description: tRNA-Lys
Rfam family: tRNA
About the family: Transfer RNA (tRNA) molecules are approximately 80 nucleotides in length. Their secondary structure includes four short double-helical elements and three loops (D, anti-codon, and T loops).
Source: RNAcentral